GCCCGCCCCCACCUACCUCUCUCUCUCUCUCUCUCUCUCUCUCUCUCUCUCUCUCCGUGGACUGAAGGUUGUGUCGGUCCUCCCACAACCAGCCCGGGACCCCACACCGAUCUCAUUGCUGCCGUUCGGGCGGCUGAGGAUUUUGGAGCUCAGAGGGUGCGAUCUUUCGACAUCGGCCGCACGAGGGCUUCUUGAAUUGAGGCACACUCUGGAGAAGAUCAUUUGUCACAAUUCUACGAUUGAAGAAUCCUUGGAGGAGCUUGCACCAGCUUGCUGUUUAUGCAGACUCAGGUAUUUAUCAUGUUUGUAUGUGUGAGUCAUUUAUCUUUCCACCUCUUUAACAAUGUUUAUGUUAUUUGUGUUGUUGACAUUCUUCAGAAAUACCCUAUGCCAGAAUGCGAUAUUUGGUUUAUCAAGUUUUCAUGCGAUUUUCAUUACAAUGUGGCAGCAAUAGAAUUUUUUAUUCCGCAUUUGGGGAAGAGAGAGUCUGCGGUCCUAGGCUUAGUAUUCAGUAUAGGGUAUUGAAGACAAUGAUCUGCUAGUCGAGUCCGCCCGCAUAGUUUUAUAAAAGAGAAAAUGUUAUAUUAUACGAUAGGUGAGGCCCAUUUCUUUUUUGUGGUGCCCACCUGAAUCAUUGUACAGUUUUUUGGUAGAUUCAACAAAGAUACAAGUGGUGUGAUCCCAUCUUUCUUAAAAAAGAAGAAGAAGCAAAUCAAUCAUAAUUUCUUUGUUUCCCUUGGUAACUUGGGGCGGCACAUAAUAACUUCUUUUCUUUUCUUUUUAUUACAUUUUGUACAUAUAGGUCGAAUUUGGAAUGGAUGUGAAUUUUGUGUA
Magnolia sinica is the source of this 834-nucleotide long non-coding RNA. RefSeq lists it as uncharacterized. Lineage: Eukaryota; Viridiplantae; Streptophyta; Magnoliopsida; Magnoliales; Magnoliaceae. The transcript has 3 exons. The record is from RefSeq and is a predicted model, not a curated record.